UAUUUUGACUAUACAAAGGUAUUGAAAUAAGACUUUAAUUGAGUGCUAAGAGAAUGGAAAUACAGAAAAAAACUUUCUUAAACUUAAAAUUUAAAGUUAUUUUUAUUUGUGAAGAAACAAUAAUAUAAAUUAGGGACAAGAAGACCCUAAGAAUUUUUAUUUAAAUUUAUUUUAAAUUUAAAAAAUAAAUUUAAUUUAAUUGGGGCGAUUGAUUAAUAUGAUUAACUUUUUUAUUUAAAAAUAUGAACCAUUAUUAGUGGUUAUUUGAAAAAAUACUCUAGGGAUAACAGCGUAAUAAUUUUUGAUAGUUCUUAUAGACAAAAUAGUUUGCGACCUCGAUGUUGGAUUAGGAUAUUUUUUUAAUGAAGAAGUUAAAAAAAAAAGUUUGUUCAACUUUUAAUUUCCU
RNAcentral lists this ribosomal RNA (406 nucleotides) under Amblyomma oblongoguttatum. RNAcentral's name for it is "partial large subunit ribosomal RNA". Lineage: Eukaryota; Metazoa; Arthropoda; Arachnida; Ixodida; Ixodidae. The record is from RNAcentral.